RNAcentral lists this ribosomal RNA (301 nucleotides) under uncultured bacterium. RNAcentral's name for it is "partial 16S ribosomal RNA". It matches the Rfam family "Bacterial small subunit ribosomal RNA", at positions 509 to 807 of the family's 1533-position model. The record is from RNAcentral.
CAGCCGCCGCGGUAAUACAGAGGGUGCGAGCGUUAAUCGGAUUUACUGGGCGUAAAGCGUGCGUAGGCGGCUUUUUAAGUCGGAUGUGAAAUCCCUGAGCUUAACUUAGGAAUUGCAUUCGAUACUGGGAAGCUAGAGUAUGGGAGAGGAUGGUAGAAUUCCAGGUGUAGCGGUAAAAUGCGUAGAGAUCUGGAGGAAUACCGAUGGCGAAGGCAGCCAUCUGGCCUAAUACUGACGCUGAGGUACGAAAGCAUGGGGAGCAAACAGGAUUAGAUACCCGAGUAGUCCCUGUCUCUUAUAC